GUGAAUCAUCAAAUUUUUGAACGCAAAUUGCACUCUCUGGUAUUCCGGAGAGUAUGCCUGUUUGAGAGUCAGUUUAAUUAAAAAUCGGUGUGGUUGCUGCCUUUCGUGGUGACGCACCGGAUGUGGGUCGCCUUGCCUUUGGUUAAGGUACCUAAAAUUUAGCUAGAUUUUUUCGAAGGUAUUUAAUUGAUUUUACGUACGUUUGCGAUAUUGAAUACUAGGCGCUGUUAUCC
This 233-nucleotide unclassified non-coding RNA is filed under the name Glomeraceae sp. RNAcentral describes it as "partial contains 5.8S ribosomal RNA and internal transcribed spacer 2". The stretch from base 1 to 71 matches the Rfam family "5.8S ribosomal RNA", at positions 84 to 154 of the family's 154-position model. The record is from RNAcentral. Lineage: Eukaryota; Fungi; Glomeromycota; Glomeromycetes; Glomerales; Glomeraceae.